UACGGAGGGUGCAAGCGUUAUCCGGAUUCACUGGGUUUAAAGGGUGCGUAGGCGGGUUUGUAAGUCAGUGGUGAAAUCCCGAAGCUUAACUUCGGAACUGCCGUUGAUACUACAGGUCUUGAAUACUCGGGAGGUGAGCGGAAUAUGUCAUGUAGCGGUGAAAUGCUUAGAUAUGACAUAGAACACCGAUUGCGAAGGCAGCUCACUACAGAGUCAUUGACGCUGAGGCACGAAAGCGUGGGGAUCAAACAGGAUUAGAUACCCGCGUAGUCC
RNAcentral lists this ribosomal RNA (273 nucleotides) under uncultured bacterium. RNAcentral's name for it is "partial 16S ribosomal RNA". It matches the Rfam family "Bacterial small subunit ribosomal RNA", at positions 524 to 796 of the family's 1533-position model. The record is from RNAcentral.